Molecule: ribosomal RNA, 303 nt
Filed under: uncultured bacterium
Lineage: Bacteria
Description: partial 16S ribosomal RNA
Rfam family: Bacterial small subunit ribosomal RNA
Source: RNAcentral
AGCAGUAGCCGCGGUAAUACGAAGGGUGCAAGCGUUACUCGGAAUUACUGGGCGUAAAGCGUGCGUAGGUGGUGGUUUAAGUCCGUUGUAAAAGCCCUGGGCUCAACCUGGGAAUUGCAGUGGAUACUGGGUCACUAGAGUGUGGUAGAGGAUAGUGGAAUUUCCGGUGUAGCAGUGAAAUGCGUAGAGAUCGGAAGGAACAUCUGUGGCGAAGGCGACUAUCUGGGCCAACACUGACACUGAGGCACGAAAGCGUGGGGAGCAAACAGGAUUAGAUACCCCAGUAGUCCCUGUCUCUUAUAC